Molecule: long non-coding RNA, 327 nt
Organism: Saccostrea cuccullata (small rock oyster)
Lineage: Eukaryota; Metazoa; Mollusca; Bivalvia; Ostreida; Ostreidae
Exons: 4
Source: RefSeq, a predicted model, not a curated record
UUCCGCUUUUGCUUUAGCUCUUUUUGUGUUCUUUUCAAUUGUCCUCCUGGAAAUUGCUGCUAUCAACCAUGAAACCAAUUUGAUCAGAAGCCGAAAACCUAGAAAUAUAAUGGCAGAUUUGUUACUUAUGGACUAUAUGGCUUCUAGACAUAGUGAUAAACUUGGAUAUGGUCUAAAUAUAACUCAAUACGGAAGGUAGCACCUAAAUUCGUUACCUGGUUUAAUUCCAUUCCGGAAAACUUGAAAAGCAGUUCAGCCUUGGAUUCAGAAUGUGAUAAUAGUAUUUAUAAAUAUUGCUGAUGUAAUAAAAUGCAGAAAUUUUGUCAA